Molecule: ribosomal RNA, 396 nt
Filed under: uncultured bacterium
Lineage: Bacteria
Description: partial 16S ribosomal RNA
Rfam family: Bacterial small subunit ribosomal RNA
Source: RNAcentral
AAUAUUGCACAAUGGAGGAAACUCUGACGCAGCGACGCCGCGUGAGCGAAGAAGGCAUUCGGGUCGGAAAGUUCUGUCCUAGGGGACGGUAAUGACGGUACCCUAGGAGUGAGCCCCGGCUAACUACGUUCCAGCCCCCGCGGUAAUACGUAGGGGGCAAGCGUUGUCCGGAUUUAUUGGGCGUAAAGGGUUCGCAGGCGGCCUUUUAAGUCAGAUGUGAAAGACUACAGCUCAACUGUGGUAAGCAUUUGAAACUGAAAGGCUUGAGUUAAGGAGAGGAAAGUGGAAUUCCUAGUGUAGCGGUGAAAUGCGUAGAUAUUAGGAGGAAUACCAGUGGCGAAGGCGACUUUCUGGACUUAUACUGACGUUGAGGAACGAAAGCGUGGGGAGCAAACA